RNAcentral lists this ribosomal RNA (207 nucleotides) under uncultured bacterium. RNAcentral describes it as "partial 16S ribosomal RNA". It matches the Rfam family "Bacterial small subunit ribosomal RNA", at positions 568 to 774 of the family's 1533-position model. The record is from RNAcentral.
CGUGUAGGCGGUCAGGUAAGUGGAAUGUGAAAGCCCUCGGCUCACCCGAGGAUCUGCAUUCCAAACUGCCUGGCUUGAGUAUGGGAGAGGAUGAGGGGAUUCCUGGUGUAGCGGUGAAAUGCGUAGAUAUCAGGAGGAACACCGGUGGCGAAGGCGCUCAUCUGGCCCAAUACUGACGCUGAGGCGCGAAAGCUAGGGGAGCAAACG